AUCUGAAUGCCACCGAAAAUGUGA
This 24-nucleotide non-coding RNA is filed under the name Arabidopsis thaliana (thale cress). The record is from RNAcentral. Lineage: Eukaryota; Viridiplantae; Streptophyta; Magnoliopsida; Brassicales; Brassicaceae.